This 509-nucleotide ribosomal RNA is filed under the name uncultured Curtobacterium sp. RNAcentral's name for it is "partial 16S ribosomal RNA". The record is from RNAcentral. Lineage: Bacteria; Bacillati; Actinomycetota; Actinomycetes; Micrococcales; Microbacteriaceae.
CACGUAGUUAGCCGGUGCUUUUUCUGCAGGUACCGUCACUUUCGCUUCUUCCCUACUAAAAGAGGUUUACAACCCGAAGGCCGUCAUCCCUCACGCGGCGUUGCUGCAUCAGGCUUUCGCCCAUUGUGCAAUAUUCCCCACUGCUGCCUCCCGUAGGAGUCUGGGCCGUGUCCCAGUCCCAGUGUGGCCGGUCACCCUCUCAGGCCGGCUACCCGUCGUCGCCUUGGUGAGCCAUUACCUCACCAACAAGCUGAUAGGCCGCGAGUCCAUCCCCAAACCAAAAAAUCCUUUCCACCACCAGACCAUGCGGCCAGUGAUCAUAUCCAGUAUUAGACGUCGUUUCCAACGCUUAUCCCAGAGUCAGGGGCAGGUUACUCACGUUGUACUCACCCGUUCGCCACUAAUCACAGGAGCAAGCUCCUGAUCAUCGUUCGACUUGCUAUGUGUUAAGCCACGCCGCCAGCGUUCGCCUUGAGCCAGGACUACGAAACUCUCUAGAGACUGACCCG